GAAACAAUGUCCAAAUAUCCUUUCAUUUGCGUUGAUUCACAUGAAAUGACUUCAAGUGUGGAAUGUGUACAUUAUCCCUACAUUCACCACUUCCACAAUGUGAAGACACAGCAAGAAGACAGCCGUAUAUGAACCAGGACGCCAGACACCAAACCCGCAGGUGCCUUGAUCUUGCACUUCCCAGCCUGCAGAACUAUGAGAAAGAAAUGUUUGUUAAGUCAAAAAAAAAAGAAAGUGGGGACUUCGUUGCCAUCCUGGGACACAAAACCUGCGGUGCUGUCAAACCUGACUUCAAAGCAAUUCCUGGUCUGUCUUACGCUGGAAUAAAGUAUGAUCAAGCUAGAUCCCAAAGGAGGUCCAGGAAGCACAGCGAGGAGAACUUUUUGCUGAAUUAUAAAUAUAUUGAAGUGGAACAACGGACGCUUCUCUUGCAUCCCGCGGGGCCAGUUAGCACCUGAGCCGCCAGGCUGCAGCCUCGGCUGGAGGCCGAGAGCCCCCUCCCACGGACACAAAUUGAUGGCUCUUUGAUGCACAAGAAAAAGAGCAUACUUAAUAUUUCUCUUUCUUUCCUGUCAUUUCAGCUACCCAAACGUCACAAUAAAUGUCACACUUGGAAAUUCAUCUGGAAAGAACCCCAAAUGAUUACUGCACCAGUGCACAUAAGGGUGGUAAAUGCACAAAGCAGGACACUUGAGCCCAAACAGAAAAUGGAAAUGGCGCUGAAGCGACUACUGGGCAGGAGAAAAAAGCAGAGGCAGACUGAUCAGAAGAAGGGCCAGUGCAGAGAAGGGCCUGGACACCCCACCCAGGGAUGGGUCUUUCCUCUGUGGGGCAGAGGCCUUGGUUUGGGAUGAGUCGAUGUGUCAGAGGGAGGGCGAAGACCCACGUGCCGACGGCCGGAUGGUGGGCUUCGCGAGAGCCUGGGUUCCAGCUCCUCUGCCCCCACAGGCUGGCUGAGCGACCUUGAGAGAGUUUCUGAAAUUCUCCAAGCCCUGGCAUUCUACCUGGAGAGUGGGGGUGCUGACAUUAUCGACAUACUGUCUGUCGGUGUUGUUGUGAGGGGUCAGUAAGACAGCAGAGAAAGCACUGAAGAGUGAGGUCUCCAUAAACGUUAUGAUUACUAUGCCAUGACUUGCCCGCGGUGCUUUCCAGGUAGACUAUGGAUUGCAUCAGAACCACAGUUUUGUCUAGGACAGCGAUGUGUCUGCGUCUCCAGCUUCCACGGAUGCGGAGAAGGGUUGCUAUGAUUUAUGUGGAAAACAUUGGCUGGCCUUCAAGGAAAGCUGGCUCUGCCUUGGGGGGUGUGCUGUGGAAGGUAGACACGAUGGCUGAAGCUUCUGUAGCUCUUUUGGAACCAUAAGGGAAGGAGAGAAGUUACAAGAAUCUAGAAUCCCGGAGAUCUCAGCCCGGAAAGUCUCGAGGCUCUCAAGCAAUGCCGACCACCUUCUACCUCCAAACUCACUUUCUUGAGGGACACAGGCCUUUAGGUCCCCAUUCCUUUGAGUUUGUUGUUGUUAUCUGUUACCAGACCAAAUUGUAACUUCCGUAUAUCACAUGAUGCAAAAUCCCUGAAAAAUAACCACGGCUUCAUCAUUCAAGGUAACAUUAUGGGAAAGUCUCAGUGUGGGAGGUAAACUGAGCAACUUGUUUUUGAAACAAACGGAAAACUUAACAGACUGAGAACCAACGUCCGGGUGUUGCUGUGAGGAUGGAACGAGAAGCAAGUGCACGCGCAGACCUCCUGAUAUGGUCCCAGGUGGUGAGGACGGUUCAUGGCAGCUCACCUUGAGUCCUCUCACCAAGGGAGACAGGCUGGAGAAAACCCGGCCUUGUCCUCAGAGGAGACACCAGGGACAGUCAUUUUCAUAGCUCACCAGCUGGAUUAUUAUUAUUAUUUUCCUGACCCCGUUGAGUGACAAACUCUCUACUCAGGAGGGUUUUGGCCCAGAAGCGGUUGGGAAGGCCGGGCCGGGAGAGUCAAUGGGCCUGGGGAGGCUGGACGCACGCAGGAGCAGCUUCUACUAGGAGAGAGGGCUGGACGGCAGCUGGUACCCUCUGAUGCCAUGUUUCCGGGAUGUGAGAGACAUCCUAGUUUGUACCCGAUCUGAGUUCUGAACCAAUUGUGUCCUUGCUCGGUGUCCGGGCAGGAAGUCCCCUUAGACAGGUGUGGCUGUGCCCCGUCCUGCGAGCUCAGCUCGGCGUCUCCUGAUUCUCCACCCAGAUCUGCUGGUGAAACGACCCGGCUUCACAGUGAGGGACAGGAGUGAAUUCAGCGGCUCGGUGUGAAGGUUUUGAGUGGUGGGAACAUCUAAAAGGACCUUCACCUCAAACUGAGGGGAUCAGUGAGACCACGGGUGCCUGAAACUUUCGGACGAAUGCCACUGCCAGAAACCCUGAGAGAAGUCAGAGUUUGCGUGCCAAGGAGAACUUUUUUUUUUUUUUGAGGAAGAUUAACCCUGAGCUAACAUCUGCCACCAAUUCUCCUCUUUUUGCUGAGGAAGACUGGCCCUAACCUAACAUCUGUGCCCAUCUUCCUCUAGUUUAUAUGUGGGACGCCUACCACAGCAUGGCUUGCCAAGCGAUGUCAUGUCUGCACCUGGGAUCCAAAUCAGUGAACCCUGGGCCACUGAAGCGAAAUGUGCGAACUUAACCACUUCACCACUGGGCGGCCCCAAGGAGAAAUUUUUUAUCGCUUCAGUCUGUUGUAGCAUCACACUCUUUUAAGUUAAGCCAUAAAGGAGCAAUAAAAUGUCAGAGACCAUUCCCAGGCAACACACACUUAUCUCAUCUUAAGUUUAUUCUCACUGGUCUUAGGAGACAAGCUUCUCUGACAAUUGUUGGCAGUGUCCUGAGCAUCUUAUUGUGCAGCCACAGUGUCCAAGAUGAUGCCUCCCAGCCUUCUGUCCUGCUGAUCCACACUGUGACCUAGUUUAAGUGGGAGAGACAUUUGCAGGCAGCCAUUCAAG
Equus caballus (horse) is the source of this 2966-nucleotide long non-coding RNA. The record is from Ensembl. Lineage: Eukaryota; Metazoa; Chordata; Mammalia; Perissodactyla; Equidae.